RNAcentral lists this transfer RNA (69 nucleotides) under Capitonius sp. QL-2013. RNAcentral's name for it is "tRNA-Arg". The record is from RNAcentral. Lineage: Eukaryota; Metazoa; Arthropoda; Insecta; Hymenoptera; Braconidae.
UAUUAAGAAUCGAUUUAUUGAAUUCAAUUUCGACUUGGAAUUUAGAUUAUAUUUUAUAAUCCUUAAUAA